Molecule: long non-coding RNA, 887 nt
Organism: Mauremys reevesii (Reeves's turtle)
Lineage: Eukaryota; Metazoa; Chordata; Testudines; Geoemydidae
Exons: 3
Source: RefSeq, a predicted model, not a curated record
GCUGCCCCCUGCCUCUCGCCGCUUUCCGUGGCAAACGGUUUGUUUCCGAUCACCGGCGGGCCCGUGUUUCCCCUGCUGGUCUGUGGGUUGGAUGUUGAGCUAGUCCAGCCCGUCCCUUGGGGGUCACACCCGCUCUUCCCAAUCUCCGUGCACCCCGCUCACAGUUCAGUUCAAAAACACUUUGAACGGCCCACUCGGAAAUGCGUUGUGAUCCCAGUGGUGCCACAGUGCACACGCGUGAAAUGACCUAGGACAGAGAUUUCCGGAGCGUUGGAGUUUUAAUCGCCUUCGGUCAUUUGCCAUAAUUUCCGAGUUUUGCUUUGGUGGUGGCUUAAUAGAUACCACAGUUUAUGUUUCCUGAAACCCCAACUUUGCUACCAGCUCCAAGAACAGUGAGGUGGUGUGGCUCCCCGCCGCCCUAGAGCGGGACGAGCCCAUCCAGAAGCUGCAGUGGGCGGAGCUAGGGAGCUCUGAGCCCGCCCCUCAGAAAGUCAGGCGGUGACCCAGAAGUAUAAAGGCUUGCCUUCAGAGCUCAGUAGGGCCCCAGCCACCGGAAAGGCCAGACGCCUCCAGCCUAGCUCAUGACAGGGAAACCCCCGCGGACCCAGGUACACGCCAGGACUGACUGGACCUGCCCUGCACCUGCUAUGCAGAGGAGGUGCUGGACCUUCCAUGUGCUCGCUACCCAGAGGAGUUCCCGGGCCUGCUGCUUGCCCACUAUCCUGAGGAACCCAUGGUGCUGGACCCCCCGGAGAAAAAACACCCUGACCCAGGAUUGGGACUUCUAAAACAAUACAGAACUGAACAGGGAUCCUAGAAAUCUGUUUUCAACGGAAAAAUGCAGAAUUUGUGUUUUUGCAGAUAAUCUUUGGUUUUUACAGUUUGUG